UGGGGAAUAUUAGUCAAUGGGGGAAACCCUGAACUAGCAACGCCGCGUGAAGGAAGAAGGUCUUCGGAUUGUAAACUUUUGUCUUCAGGGAAGAAAUAAAUGACGGUACCUGAGGAGGAAGCCACGGCUAACUACGUGCCAGCAGCCGCGGUAAUACGUAGGUGGCAAGCGUUGUCCGGAAUUACUGGGUGUAAAGGGUGCGUAGGCGGGUAUGUAAGUCAGGUGUGAAAUUCCGAGGCUCAACUUCGGAACUGCAUUUGAAACUACAUAUCUUGAGUGAAGGAGAGGUAAGUGGAAUUCCCAGUGUAGCGGUGAAAUGCGUAGAUAUUGGGAGGAACACCAGUGGCGAAGGCGACUUACUGGACUUUAACUGACGCUGAUGCACGAAAGCGUGGGUAGCAAAC
RNAcentral lists this ribosomal RNA (404 nucleotides) under uncultured bacterium. Its description in RNAcentral is "bacterial SSU rRNA". It matches the Rfam family "Bacterial small subunit ribosomal RNA", at positions 355 to 773 of the family's 1533-position model. The record is from RNAcentral.